RNAcentral lists this ribosomal RNA (322 nucleotides) under uncultured eukaryote. RNAcentral's name for it is "partial 18S ribosomal RNA". It matches the Rfam family "Eukaryotic small subunit ribosomal RNA", at positions 1470 to 1796 of the family's 1831-position model. The record is from RNAcentral.
CCCUUAGAUGUUCUGGGCCGCACGCGUGCUACACUGAGUGGAUCAGCGGGUCAGGUUGCGCGAAAGUGUUUCCUAAUCUUUAAAUCCGCUCGUGAUGGGGAUUGACGGUUGCAAUUUUCCGUCAUGAACGAGGAAUACCUUGUAAGCGCGGGUCAUCAUCCCGCGCUGAAUACGUCCCUGCCCUUUGUACACACCGCCCGUCGCUCCUACCGAUUGAAUGGUCCGGUGAGGCUUUGGGAUCUGAGCGGAAAGAGCGUUUCGCUGUUUCUGCCCGGAAAACUCAGUCGAACCUUAUCAUUUAGAGGAAGGAGAAGUCGUAACA